Molecule: ribosomal RNA, 443 nt
Filed under: uncultured bacterium
Lineage: Bacteria
Description: partial 16S ribosomal RNA
Rfam family: Bacterial small subunit ribosomal RNA
Source: RNAcentral
CCUACGGGAGGCAGCAGUGGGGAAUAUUGGACAAUGGGGGGAACCCUGAUCCAGCGACGUCGCGUGAGGGAAGAAGUACUUCGGUAUGUAAAGCUUUAUCAGCAGGGAGGUAAGAAAUGACGGUACCUGACUAAGAAGCCCCGGCUAACUACGUGCCAGCAGCCGCGGUAAUACGGAGGGGGCAAGCGUUAUCCGGAUUUACUGGGUGUAAAGGGAGCGUAGACGGGGAUGCAAGUCUGAAGUGAAAGGCGGGGGCCCAACCCCCAGACUGCUUUGGAAACUGGAUGGCUGGAGUGCAGGAGAGGUAGGUGGAAUUCCUAGUGUAGCGGUGAAAUGCGUAGAUAUUAGGAAGAACACCAGUGGCGAAGGCAGCUUACUAAACUGUAACUGACGUUGAGGCUCGAAAGCGUGGGGAGCAAACAGGAUUAGAUACCCCAGUAGUC